CUGAAACAAGAUGUUAUUAGAAUACAAAUUGAAAUGUGCCAGAGUUAGAGAACAAAAAGACAAGCAACCAGACCAGGAAAUAAACGCGAACAACAAUAGGAUUGAUUACUAACUUUAUCCAUUUUUAUAUGUGAUAUCAGGCCCAUGAGCAUCAAUGCUCUAAACUAAGAGGGUAGAAGCAAUCCUUGAACAUUAUUCAACAUUUUGUUAAUAUAAUGUUGAAUAUUUUCAUCACAUUUGAGAAACAUAAUUCUUUUCAUAAAUGGGUAGCCAUUUUUCAGCUCAACAGAACACAGGACACAGUUAGACUCGUGGCCUAGAUAAUUGACAGCACCCAAAUCUUUACAGAAACGGAUGUAAG
RNAcentral lists this unclassified non-coding RNA (361 nucleotides) under Hevea brasiliensis (rubber tree). Lineage: Eukaryota; Viridiplantae; Streptophyta; Magnoliopsida; Malpighiales; Euphorbiaceae. The record is from RNAcentral.